Long non-coding RNA from Ixodes scapularis (black-legged tick), 649 nucleotides. RefSeq lists it as uncharacterized. The record is from RefSeq and is a predicted model, not a curated record. The transcript has 3 exons. NCBI's taxonomy places the organism in Eukaryota, Metazoa, Arthropoda, Arachnida, Ixodida, Ixodidae.
CUAAAAUAAAACUCAACAGCUUCGUGAAUACCAGAAAGACUGGCUGACGCGCAGAACUUCGGGAGCAGCAUGUGAAGCCCAACCACAACUUUUUUAUGGCUCUCAAAACGUUCUUUCAAUUGGUUUUCCAAGCCUGCCAACAAAGGGUUGCUGCCUCGCUAGACCAAGACGAGGCAAGAAGAGGAGGCCAGAGAACAAGAAAAAUGGUCUAGCACACUGGCUGCACAUCAGGCGGUCAGCCUGCAGCGUGUCACUCGACACAUGCACAUCGUUGCAUGCGCUGACAAGCCCGACAACCUCAGAGAGGGCGCCAAGAAUUUCAACAUUGACUGUUGGCAUGCUCGCUCCAAGAGCACAUGAACAGAAAUCCAAAAGAGCGACCAAAGUUGGCGGCUCAGUUUACGAGAAUACCGAUGCCUUGCCUACUAAUACAAAGAAACCUGAACACUGAGCCGGAGAAAGGUAGCAGGCCUGCACCAAUUAUCUGUCUUCAGAGAUCUGGCAUGGCUCGAGUUGUGAGCAACAUGACGAAGAGGUGGUGGCAUCAUCAACCACGGCCAUUUGAACUUAAGAAACAUGAUUAACAACACAAAUUGUAAAAUCUAGAUAAAAAAAGUGAAAGCCGUUUACAACUCCCUGUAACGCCGAA